This is a non-coding RNA of Lojkania enalia, 91 nucleotides long. Lineage: Eukaryota; Fungi; Ascomycota; Dothideomycetes; Pleosporales. The record is from the annotation of a GenBank genome assembly.
GGCUCGGUGGUGUAGUUGGUUAUCACGUCAGUCUAACAAGAAUGAAGCUUGUGAUCACUGAAGGUCCCGAGUUCAAACCUCGGCUGAGUCA